GCCUACGGGGGCUGCAGUGGGGAAUAUUGGACAAUGGGCGAAAGCCUGAUCCAGCCAUGCCGCGUGUGUGAAGAAGGCCUUCGGGUUGUAAAGCACUUUCAGUGGGGAAGAAAGCCUUGGGGCUAAUACCCUCGAGGAAGGACAUCACCCACAGAAGAAGCACCGGCUAACUCCGUGCCAGCAGCCGCGGUAAUACGGAGGGUGCGAGCGUUAAUCGGAAUUACUGGGCGUAAAGCGCGCGUAGGCGGUCUGAUAAGCCGGUUGUGAAAGCCCCGGGCUCAACCUGGGAACGGCAUCCGGAACUGUCAGGCUAGAGUGCAGGAGAGGAAGGUAGAAUUCCCGGUGUAGCGGUGAAAUGCGUAGAGAUCGGGAGGAAUACCAGUGGCGAAGGCGGCCUUCUGGACUGACACUGACGCUGAGGUGCGAAAGCGUGGGUAGCAAACAGGAGUAGAUACCUUGUAGUC
Molecule: ribosomal RNA, 464 nt
Filed under: Vreelandella stevensii
Lineage: Bacteria; Pseudomonadati; Pseudomonadota; Gammaproteobacteria; Oceanospirillales; Halomonadaceae
Description: partial 16S ribosomal RNA
Rfam family: Bacterial small subunit ribosomal RNA
Source: RNAcentral